AGUGAUCUCAGAUAGAUGCAGCUAUGAGUCCAAUAAAAUAUGUUUCUGUUCUGCUAUAUAUAGAGCCACAUGAACCACCAUUGAUGAAGGUUUAAUCUGGUGAUGUUGUGUUUCUUCUGCAAAGAACAAAAUUAAGAUGGGAAAGAAAGCGAUACUUGCAACUUCACCUGCAGAUUCUUCCAACACUUUAUACAAAAGUGCUUCUCUGGGGCUAAUUUAAUCAUUUGAGCUUUUUCCCUCUCUAUACUGUUGACACACACACACGCUUGUUUUUUGUUUUCACUUUCCAUAAAAUACAUUAUUAUAGUUUUUUAUUUUUACUUAUUUAAUCCUAUUCUAAACAUUUGACA
Molecule: long non-coding RNA, 350 nt
Organism: Vigna unguiculata (cowpea)
Lineage: Eukaryota; Viridiplantae; Streptophyta; Magnoliopsida; Fabales; Fabaceae
Source: RefSeq, a predicted model, not a curated record